GUGGGGGCAGAGCCCAAGAGUGGCUCCUCCCCAGGGCUGCGCUUAGACUACAUUUCCCCAGGACUUGAGCCCCCGGUGGGCAGCAUUGUGGUGACCCAUGGGCCACCCAUCGAGAGGGCUUCCUGCUACAACUCACCUUUGGGCUGCUGCUCAGAUGGCAAGACACCCUCACUGGACUCCGAAGGCUCCAACUGUCCUGGUAAGUGAACCUUGGGGAAGGGAUGAGCUUGAGGAACAGCAUAGAUAGGAGUGCUGUCUUCACCCCUCGGCAGCAGGUCGGUAUAAGGUUAUGGUGUUCUGGCUCCAGCACUUCGAGUGUGUGGGGGGAUUAAGUUUGGCACACACAUGCACUCUGGUUUCAACCAUUGAAUAUGCAUGUGUGCCAAGGACC
Molecule: long non-coding RNA, 391 nt
Filed under: Rattus norvegicus (Norway rat)
Lineage: Eukaryota; Metazoa; Chordata; Mammalia; Rodentia; Muridae
Description: long non-coding RNA NONRATT023957
Source: RNAcentral